GACGAACGCUGGCGGCGUGCCUAAUACAUSCAAGUCGAGCGGUUGAAGCCUUCGGGUGGAGAUAGCGGCGGACGGGUGAGUAACACGUAGGUAACCUGCCUAACAGACUGGGAUAACUACCGGAAACGGUAGCUAAGACCGGAUACGUCAAUAUGAGGGCAUCCUCGAAUUGAGAAAAGCGGAGCAAUCUGCUGCUGAUAGAUGGACCUGCGGCGCAUUAGACUAGUUGGUGAGGUAGAGGCUCACCAAGGCGACGAUGCGUAGCCGACCUGAGAGGGUGAACGGCCACACUGGGACUGAGACACGGCCCAGACUCCUACGGGAGGCAGCAGUAGGGAAUCUUCGGCAAUGGACGAAAGUCUGACCGAGCAACGCCGCGUGAGUGAUGAAGGUUUUCGGAUCGUAAAACUCUGUUGCCAGGGAAGAAU
Molecule: ribosomal RNA, 428 nt
Filed under: Paenibacillaceae bacterium Ellin7062
Lineage: Bacteria; Bacillati; Bacillota; Bacilli; Caryophanales; Paenibacillaceae
Description: bacterial SSU rRNA
Rfam family: Bacterial small subunit ribosomal RNA
Source: RNAcentral